AAGAAUUAGUAGUUUAAAUUAGAAUUCUGCUUUGUGGGUGCAGGGGUAUACCUUUAGAGUAUCAUUCUUC
Molecule: transfer RNA, 70 nt
Filed under: Cryptocelis alba
Lineage: Eukaryota; Metazoa; Platyhelminthes; Polycladida; Cryptocelidae
Description: tRNA-His
Source: RNAcentral